RNAcentral lists this ribosomal RNA (397 nucleotides) under uncultured bacterium. RNAcentral describes it as "partial 16S ribosomal RNA". It matches the Rfam family "Bacterial small subunit ribosomal RNA", at positions 523 to 918 of the family's 1533-position model. The record is from RNAcentral.
AUACGUAGGGGGCGAGCGUUGUCCGGAAUGAUUGGGCGUAAAGGGCGCGUAGGCGGCCCGGUAAGUCUGGAGUGAAAGUCCUGUUUUUAAGAUGGGAAUUGCUUUGGAUACUGGAGAGCUAGAGUGCAGGAGAGGUAAGUGGAAUUCCCAGUGUAGCGGUGAAAUGCGUAGAGAUUGGGAGGAACACCAGUGGCGAAGGCGACUUACUGGACUGUAACUGACGCUGAGGCGCGAAAGUGUGGGGAGCAAACAGGAUUAGAUACCCUGGUAGUCCACACUGUAAACGAUGAAUGCUAGGUGUAGGGGGUAUCGACCCCUUCUGUGCCGCAGUCAACACAAUAAGCAUUCCGCCUGGGGAGUACGGCCGCAAGGUUGAAACUCAAAUGAAUUGACGGGG